GAUCUUGGUCAGGAUGAACGCUAGCGACAGGCUUAACACAUGCAAGUCGAGGGGCAUCACGGGAGUAGCAAUACAACGUGGUGGCGACCGGCGCACGGGUGAGUAACGCGUAUGCAACCUACCUAUCAGAGGGGAAUAACCCGGCGAAAGUCGGACUAAUACCGCAUAAACAGGGGCACCGCAUGGUGAUAUUUGUUAAAGAAAUUCGCUGAUAGAUGGGCAUGCGUUCCAUUAGGUAGUUGGUGAGGUAACGGCUCACCAAGCCGACGAUGGAUAGGGGAACUGAGAGGUUGGUCCCCCACACUGGUACUGAGACACGGACCAGACUCCUACGGGAGGCAGCAGUGAGGAAUAUUGGUCAAUGGGCGGGAGCCUGAACCAGCCAAGUCGCGUGAAGGAAGAAGGAUCUAUGGUUCGUAAACUUCUUUUGCAGGGGAAUAAAGUGCAGGACGUGUCCUGUUUUGUAUGUACCCUGAGAAUAAGGAUCGGCUAACUCCGUGCCAGCCGCCGC
Molecule: ribosomal RNA, 511 nt
Filed under: uncultured bacterium
Lineage: Bacteria
Description: bacterial SSU rRNA
Rfam family: Bacterial small subunit ribosomal RNA
Source: RNAcentral